GGGGGAUUAGCUCAGCUGGCUAGAGCGCUUGCAUGGCAUGCAAGAGGUAAUCGGUUCAAGUCCGUUAUCCUCCA
This 74-nucleotide transfer RNA is filed under the name Flavobacteriales bacterium. RNAcentral describes it as "tRNA-Ala". It matches the Rfam family "tRNA". From Rfam's summary of the family: Transfer RNA (tRNA) molecules are approximately 80 nucleotides in length. Their secondary structure includes four short double-helical elements and three loops (D, anti-codon, and T loops). Lineage: Bacteria; Pseudomonadati; Bacteroidota; Flavobacteriia; Flavobacteriales. The record is from RNAcentral.